GGGCGUAAANGAGCUCGUANGCGGUUUGUCGCGUCCGCUGUGAAAGCCCGGGGCUCAACCCCGGGUCGGCAGUGGGUACGGGCAGACUAGAGUGCAGUAGGGGAGACUGGAAUUCCUGGUGUAGCGGUGAAAUGCGCAGAUAUCAGGAGGAACACCGAUGGCGAAGGCAGGUCUCUGGGCUGUUACUGACGCUGAGGAGCGAAAGCAUGGGGAGCGAACAGGAUUAGAUACCCUGGUAGUCCAUGCCGUAAACGUUGGGCACUAGGUGUGGGGGACAUUCCACGUCCUCCGCGCCGUAGCUAACGCAUUAAGUGCCCCGCCUGGGGAGUACGGCCGCAAGGCUAAAACUCAAAGGAAUUGACGGGGGCCCGCACAAGCGGCGGAGCAUGCGGAUUAAUUCGAUGCAACGCGAAGAACCUUACCAAGGCUUGACAUCCACCGGACCGCCCCAGAGAUGGGGUUUCCCUUCGGGGCCGGUGGACAGGUGGUGCAUGGUUGUCGUCAGCUCGUGUCGUGAGAUGUUGGGUUAAGUCCCGCAACGAGCGCAACCCUCGUUCUAUGUUGCCAGCACGUGAUGGUGGGGACUCAUAGGAGACUGCCGGGGUCAACUCGGAGGAAGGUGGGGAUGA
Molecule: ribosomal RNA, 629 nt
Filed under: Kocuria sp.
Lineage: Bacteria; Bacillati; Actinomycetota; Actinomycetes; Micrococcales; Micrococcaceae
Description: bacterial SSU rRNA
Rfam family: Bacterial small subunit ribosomal RNA
Source: RNAcentral